This 2206-nucleotide unclassified non-coding RNA is filed under the name Cyanidioschyzon merolae strain 10D. RNAcentral's name for it is "hypothetical transcript". The record is from RNAcentral. Lineage: Eukaryota; Rhodophyta; Bangiophyceae; Cyanidiales; Cyanidiaceae.
GCAGAGCCUCACAGAGCUGAGGCCAGGUAAUCAGGACGCGCACGUUGAGUCACGGGUCCAGAUGGAGUAGUUUGGCAGCGUUUCGGCGCCACAAGGUUGGGUCUCGAACUUGUCCCGUUACGUCUUCGUACAGGUCUGUGAAGCGAUCUGUCCAGGCAUCGUUCACUGGAGCACUCCCUGUCCUCAUCUCUCCCUUGUGGUAGAUUGGUGCGAUCUCCAAACAUUGUUUGGGUGGGCCAAGUCUCGUUCGGAUCUAGCGCCAAAGUUCAUCUUCGGUGGCGCACUCGUACGUAGCCUUGGCUAGAGGAGCGUUUCUGGGUUUUUAUCGGCUCGUAUGUGUUCUCUGCAUAGGUUCGUCGUUCUUUUGGGAGCUUCCGCACGCUGCGCCUUUAGCACCGAUAGGGCUGCGGCUGCUCUGUUGUCGUCGUCGUUGGCUUGUAUGGCGGUGCGAAUGACGACCUUGUCGAGUUAGUGGCCUUCAAGUAUCCGUGCUCUGGUACGUCGGUUCGGGAACUGCGGGUUGCUAUUAUUGCGUUCUGGUGCAAGCAGUCCCAGUUCUCUGGCAAUCAUCUGAUUCCUAUGGACGAACUCGCAUCUCAAAUAGUCUAAGGGUUUGCGCGCACGGGUAUUCGCGUCUGUGGCGCCACAAGCGGGUGGCCGAGCAUGUUGGCUGUUUUCCUGAGUUCUCGUUAGGGUUCUCAUUCGGGGGAUGAGUUGAGAUGCGUUUGCGGGGGGGCCAGAGCUGUAAGCCCUUUUGUCAGUCGUUUCUUUUGUUGGUCCGUUUGUUCUUGCAUGUCUUCCUCUUUGAGCCCUGUUCUGGGUCGCUUUCUCCGGUUGAUCUUCUGCUACGCGGGGAAUGAGGCUUCUGUGUCUCCUCCUUCAUAUCCCGCUGCAUCUCUUUCGCUGAUGUACAGUCCGCUAUUGGUAUCACUUUUUCGUUAUUGUGCUGGUUACUGGAUUUCUCCUUUCGGGAAGCGGCUCGUGACUUUUUGGUUAGUUUCAGGCCUUAUCCAUCAAGGAUGCACCCGCUGGUGACCUCUGUUGUGCAGUCUGUGCUACCACCAUUGCUGUCUCAAAGCUUUUGUCCCUCGGGCGCGAGUGCCAUGUGCAGUGAAUAGGCUACUGGUCUGAGGCGUCCCAAAGACUGUCAACGGCGAUAUGCUGGAGUGCUGGGUCGCAUCCCUCACUUAGGAUGUGAUCUAUAGAUGAGCGAAGCAAACGUUGGCCGCUUAGGCGGUGCCACGUCAAGAGUGACCGUCUGCACGGAUACACCGAUAGGAAUGCGCAUCCCAGUCGUUGUAGGUGUUGCCCAAGUUGGUUCGCCGACAUGUCACAGUCCCCCAUAAUGGUCAUCGGUUCACUACCCCGUGAGCUACAUCUCAAGCGCUGGAUAUUGGAGGCCAACUGUUUCAGCGCCUGCCGGCGCAUCUCUGCAGCAUGUGGAAUAUGAAUAGAGCCUACAAGCGAAGUUAUGAUUUCACCUGCGAUUGUAACACGCACUAAGAGCAUCCAUGGUGACGGGUUACCGAGCGCUUCGCAAGUGAGGCGUCGAUCCACAGUGAGCGCCACUCCACCUGUGCAUAAAUAAAUAAGUUAACUUGUCCGUAGGGCCUGCGUAUGUAGGUUCAAACGUUGUUGUAGCCUGGGAUGUGCAGACUAUUAUAGGCAUUUGUGUUCUCUGAGCGUAGUGUCUCCCGCAACGCCAGGCUAUGGGCGUCUCAGCGCUCCCGGAAGUGCCUUGCAUCGUCCAGUCUCGCGGCUGUCCCGCAAAUGUUCCACGAUGCGAAACCUAUCGAGUGGUAGCUCGUCAUUGAUUAGGAAUAGCGUUGCGGUGCUCCAGAGUUGUGCCGUCGAUUUAGACGCACCCGCCACGGAGUGUGUGAGCGCACAUGCCACCAGUGCCUUCUACACUCCAGUCGUUCAUUGAGUGCUUGCCGCAGUGGUAGCGCAGUGUUAGGAGUCGAGCUGGCGGGGUCGAUUCGAAAGCGGCCGUUACGCUGCGUGGCGCGUGAUGCAACCCUCGACCACUCGGGAUAUAGUCUACUAACGACCCUUUCAACGGCUUCGGAUCCGCUCCCCAAACAUGUAGGCGGGUAAGUCGCUUAUUCCACCUUCGACCGCGAACAACCUGCCUGCCGUCUUCCAAAACCUCCGCCGAGACUUCCCCAAAGUUGAAGAAAAAACUAAAGUAGGAGGUAAACCUGAG